Bos taurus (domestic cattle) is the source of this 71-nucleotide non-coding RNA. The record is from Rfam. NCBI's taxonomy places the organism in Eukaryota, Metazoa, Chordata, Mammalia, Artiodactyla, Bovidae.
UCCCUGGUGACUCAGCAGUAAAGAAUCUGCCUGCAAUGCAGGAGACCCAGGUUUGAUCCCAGGCUUGGGAA